Molecule: long non-coding RNA, 637 nt
Organism: Oncorhynchus masou masou (cherry salmon)
Lineage: Eukaryota; Metazoa; Chordata; Actinopteri; Salmoniformes; Salmonidae
Exons: 3
Source: RefSeq, a predicted model, not a curated record
CAUCUCAAUUCUCACAUUGUUGGUCAUUUAAAACUGGAACAUACACUUAAAUGAGUUACAUUCUUGUUGACGCAAUGAAAUCAGCGUCUCUUUCUCAUGUCGUGCGACGUGAUGAGGAUGAUUUCUUGGUUCGAGCUACGACCUGAAGAUCUUGUUUUUUUCCGGAGUUCCCAGUUGUCUUGAUAGCACCAUAAAUCCAGAGUAUACCAGGCUUUGAUGACAAAAGUUUCCCACGAAGGACUGCCGCGCCACCUUCCUGUUCAAGUGAGCACAACAAGAUUUGACAUCCUGAUCAUCAGUCAUUGCUCUGGGGCAUGACGUUUUAGCAGUGCCACUUCAGCCACUAUCAGUGUAAAUUCAGCUCACUCCUGGACCGUGGCUGUGAGGCAGUGAGUACCCACUAACUAAACACUCCCCAGUGACAUGAAGGCCAUCCAUCACUGGACUCUGCCAUUGUAGUGCAUGUGAGAGAGCGAUUGGGUCAAACUCUGCUAAAUCAUCUGAAUUCCUGCUGUGUCUUGGCCCUUGCUCUCGAGAUGAAGAUAAAGAGUCAUGCACAUUCCUCAAUUUAAUAAUUAAUGAAGUGACAUGUGAUGAUGUUGUGGUGUGUAAUGUCUAUUAAAUGUGCGACAUAAAA